AACGUAGGGUGCUAGCGUUGUCCGGAAUUACUGGGUGUAAAGGGAGCGCAGGCGGCUGUGCAAGUUGGGCGUUUAAUCUACGGGCUUAACCCGUAUCAGCGUUCAAAACUGUACAGCUUGAGUGAAGUAGAGGUAGGCGGAAUUUCCGGUGUAGCGGUGGAAUGCGUAGAUAUCGGAAGGAACACCAGUGGCGAAGGCGGCCUACUGGGCUUUAACUGACGCUGAGGCUCGAAAGCAUGGGUAGCAAACAGG
RNAcentral lists this ribosomal RNA (252 nucleotides) under uncultured bacterium. Its description in RNAcentral is "partial 16S ribosomal RNA". It matches the Rfam family "Bacterial small subunit ribosomal RNA", at positions 524 to 776 of the family's 1533-position model. The record is from RNAcentral.